This 606-nucleotide ribosomal RNA is filed under the name Triticum aestivum (bread wheat). RNAcentral's name for it is "partial small subunit ribosomal RNA". Lineage: Eukaryota; Viridiplantae; Streptophyta; Magnoliopsida; Poales; Poaceae. The record is from RNAcentral.
AUGAAAAACGUUCUUAUUUGCAGACAAUCAUCAACCAUCAAAGGAGAAGACGCAAACAAAGGUUCCUUCAGCUUAUGUGUUCACGAAUCUGCAGGUCUUCCUGACCUCGCCACCUGCAGGGUUGGUGAUAUUGCCCAUCUUAACCAUGGAGUCCGAGAACUGCUUGAAGAACAGCUCCGGGUCAGCCCAGUACUUGUUGACCGUGUCGGCCGUCGAGUACCCGGCGAUGCUGGACCACAUCUCCUGGUCGGAGUUGAGGAGGCCCUCACCCUUGAUGAGCGUCUCGAAAUAGGCGUUGUCGAAGGUCGCGGAAGUGUGGCUGUCCAUGGCGCUGAUGUUGUCGUCGCCACCAUCCAAGGGGCAGAUCUCCUUAAGCUUGCUGAGGUAGGUCGCAGACGCAGGGUUGUACUUGGAUGUCAUCUCGAAGUCGCCGUAUAUCCUGUCCCGGAAGUUCGCGCACCGCGCGAUCCAUCUCGGCCCGGACCACAUGCUCCGCAUUCGGGCAUGUCUUGGAGUAGUGCUCCAGGCUCAGGUUCGAAGGGUCCUGUGCCAUCAGCAAUGGCAAGGCCAGGAGAAAACAGGCCACGGAGAGAGCAGACGCCCUGA